This 492-nucleotide ribosomal RNA is filed under the name uncultured bacterium. RNAcentral describes it as "partial 16S ribosomal RNA". It matches the Rfam family "Bacterial small subunit ribosomal RNA", at positions 30 to 507 of the family's 1533-position model. The record is from RNAcentral.
AUUGAACGCUGGCGGCAUGCUUUACACAUGCAAGUCGAACGGUAACAGGCCUUUGGGUUCUGACGCGUGGCUAACGGGUGAGUAAUUCAUCGGAACGUACCCUGCGGUGGGGUAUAACGCAGCGAAAGCUGUGUUAAUAUCGUAUGUGAUCUGAGGAUGAAAUCGGUGGACCGAGCAGCAAUGUUUGGCCUCGCGCCUUUGGACCGGCCGAUUUCGGAUUAGCUAGUUGGUGGGGUAAAUGCCUACCAAGUCGACGAUCCGUAGCUUGUCUGAGAGGACGAUAGGCCACACUGGAACUGGGACACGGACAAGACUACUAAGGGAGGCAGCAGAGGGGAAUGUUGGACAAUGGGCGCAAGUCUGGUACAGCAAUGCCGAGUGCGGGAAGAAGGCCUUCGGGUUGUGAACAGCUUUUGGCAGGAACGAAACGGUGUCCGCUAAUACCGGGCGCUAAUGACGGUAACUGGAGAAUAAGCACCGGCUAACUACGUG